UGGGGAAUACUGCACAAUGGGGGAAACCCUGAUGCAGCCAUGCCGCGUGUGUGAAGAAGGCCUUCGGGUUGUAAAGCACUCUCAGUAGGGAGGAAAGGUAGCAGCUUAAUACGCUGUUGCUGUGACGUUACCUACAGAAGAAGGACCGGCUAACUCCGUGCCAGCAGCCGCGGUAAUACGGAGGGUCCGAGCGUUAAUCGGAAUUACUGGGCGUAAAGCGUGCGCAGGCGGUUUGUUAAGCGAGAUGUGAAAGCCCCGGGCUCAACCUGGGAAUUGCAUUUCGAACUGGCGAACUAGAGUCUUGUAGAGGGGGGUAGAAUUCCAGGUGUAGCGGUGAAAUGCGUAGAGAUCUGGAGGAAUACCGGUGGCGAAGGCGGCCCCCUGGACAAAGACUGACGCUCAGGCACGAAAGCGUGGGGAGCAAACAGGAUUAGAUACCCUGGUAGUCCACGCCGUAAACGAUGUCUACUCGGAGUUUGGUGUCUUGAACACUGGGCUCUCAAGCUAACGCAUUAAGUAGACCGCCUGGGGAGUAUGGCCGCAAGGUUA
RNAcentral lists this ribosomal RNA (549 nucleotides) under uncultured bacterium. RNAcentral describes it as "bacterial SSU rRNA". It matches the Rfam family "Bacterial small subunit ribosomal RNA", at positions 355 to 896 of the family's 1533-position model. The record is from RNAcentral.